AUGGUUGUGCUUCGUCAUAGAAGUACUAGACGCGGUGCCAAGCGUGCUAACCAGAAUACUGUUGCUGGUAUAGGCAGCCCCAACAAUGAUAGCUCGCAAAUGUCUCGAUCUGAUGGCGUCAAUACUACUGCUCCUUUAUCUCAAAACAGUAAAGUGAUCCAAAGGCAGCCCACGUCUCGUCAAAAGGGGAGGAAAAGGAGGGCCACGGCAGAACUAAGAGUGCCUCCACAUUGUCAUAAAGUUGGCCUUGAACCGGAAGGUGACAUGCAAUUUAAUUAUGCUGACCCUAAUUCCAAACACUACAAGUAUACUAUGCAACUUGGAAUCAUUCUUAAACGAGAACACCCCGGCAUAAUUGAGAAGAAGGAAGGUGGUGUUGUCAUUAAAACCCGUCCAGCUUUGGAGUGGUUUGAUUAUUAUGAUGAUGAUACUCUAGAUGAUAAGGGGCAGACAGCAGCAGAUCGUGUGAAGCAAGUGUUUUGGAACUUGUUUGAGGUUCAUGUGAAAGAUGGUGAAGACCCGGACAAGGUAGAGGAUGAUGCUGAUCGUGUGUUGGACAACUAUGCAAUGAAAAAAGUGAGGGGCAUGAUGUAUCAAGUUCGUGUGGAUGCUGUGAAGUUCUACUAUGAGAAGAAAGGAGAGCUGCUUGAUGACACAUUGGCAUGUUCAAAAGAACUUGAAUAUGAUCAGUACCUGGAAGGCAGAAUGCCAUGGUUUAAGGAACAUGCAUGGCCUCAUCUUUGUGCUUAUUGGUGCUCAAAAGAGUGA
This 768-nucleotide ribosomal RNA is filed under the name Triticum aestivum (bread wheat). RNAcentral's name for it is "partial small subunit ribosomal RNA". Lineage: Eukaryota; Viridiplantae; Streptophyta; Magnoliopsida; Poales; Poaceae. The record is from RNAcentral.